This is a non-coding RNA of Pelobates cultripes (western spadefoot toad), 1331 nucleotides long. The record is from the annotation of a GenBank genome assembly. Lineage: Eukaryota; Metazoa; Chordata; Amphibia; Anura; Pelobatidae.
UUUGGAUAUUCCUCUCAGUUGAUAAUGUUAACUUUUUUUUGUGGACAUUACCAUCUGUAUUCUUAAAGACACAUUUAGAUGUUACCUCCAGAAAAUAUAUCCAGAAAAUAAAUGUAAUUGUCUUGAAAUUCAGUGGUAAAUUUUAAAUUGUGAUUAUUUGAAAUAAGCCUUUGAAAGGCUUUUUAAGGCAGGAGGCCACAGGCUGCUCACUGUUUAGUAGAUAUGUAGGGGCAUUACGUAAGGAAUAAUUGACGACAGGCCAUUGAAUUAUUAGAAAAAUAAUGCACACCCGAGGUGGUAAUGCGGUCACGAUGCGAAGCGGAGUGGCCGUUACACCUUGGGUGUGCAUUAUUUUUUCUAAUAAUUCAACAGCCUGGAGUCAAUUAUUCCGCUUAUUCUACAGUUACCACACCUCAAAACAUUGUUCAGAUGAUGAAUUUCUAAACGUUUUCAAGUUUUUGUCAUUAAAACGCUCUUGUAUGUAGGACUAAUUUCUUACACAACUAUAAUGCGGUCAAGACCUGUCUGGAGCUACUUUAGCCGUGCGUCUCCCUGAAAAUAAUGCACACCUUAGAACAUUCGUCAACCAAUCUGAUUGAAGCAUUCAACGGCCCUGUAGUAUAAGGAGAUUUUAAUCUCCCUUUUGUUAGUGGGGGGGGGAUUUUUAGGAAGUGGCAAGGAGCACUGCUUUUUAAAAUAUUACAAGGAAGGAACCACAAGCCGGUACCUCUACUCUUGUAAUAAACUGAACAAAAAAAGACCGAAUUAAAAUUAGUUUUUCGUUUAUUCUUUGUAAUCUUCAUUCAUUCAUCUUUCUGAAUGUAAAAAGGUUAUUUGGAACUCAACCACAAGUGAAGGAAGAAAUUCGAUACUGUCACUUUAAGAAAAUAAUAUUAAUUGAAAUAAAGCAAUUUUGCUUUGGCAAUCUUCUGUUAUAAGAUUCUAAAAUGAUAAUGCAUGAGCAAAGAUAAUCUUGCAGGUAAUUGCUUUAAUCUAACGAACGUUUGGCAAAAUUAAAUUAAAAAAGGCAAAAAUAACUCAAACCUAAUUCUACUUGGAAAAUGUACAGUCGUUUAGGUUCUAGGAAAAAAUAAUUGAAGAAUAGGUCUCUUUAGGAGAUGAGUAGCUGAAUCCCAGAGGGCAGACAUUCAAAAUAACUUCAGAUGCGAACCAAUUAAUAAUCCCAAGAACUGGAGAACUUAUUUUGCUUACUGCGAAUGAUGGGCAUUGAAGUCCUUUCCAGAAUAGAUGAGGGUUAUGGUUCCUUGAAGUAAGUAGAGGAAUAGAGGAAGUGGUGAUGUCCAUGGGCGUCCGCAGGACUUUUUCCAUGA